Long non-coding RNA from Suricata suricatta (meerkat), 405 nucleotides. RefSeq lists it as uncharacterized. The transcript has 2 exons. NCBI's taxonomy places the organism in Eukaryota, Metazoa, Chordata, Mammalia, Carnivora, Herpestidae. The record is from RefSeq and is a predicted model, not a curated record.
GUGUCCAGGGCCGGAUGCCACCCAGUCAGCCCCACCAGCCAUGCAGGCAGCCGGCCCUGGCCAUCCCGACCUUAGAUCUUCCCCCGUGAUGAUGCCAAACCCUGUCCUCACUCAGAGGGGUGAGGAAGCAGAUGUUGAGGGGGCACAGAGCCAGAGAACCGAUUGGAAGGAUGUGGAAGUAACUGCGGAAAGAGGCCUCAGCGUUUCCAAGUUCAAAUCCCAAAGCCACCUGGAGGCCCGGGAAGCCGCUCUUCACGGGAAAGGGAACAGGAAGACGUCCAGUUGUUCACGAUCUUCAGUCUGAAACCCAAGGCGCCAACCUUGUCAUCAAGGAGCUGCCCCACCUCCCGGCCGAGGAGCGUGGACAGGAACCAACAGACAUGGUCAACGCAGAUGUCGAUCCAA